AUCAAUAAGCGGAGGAAAAGAAACCAACAGGGAUUGCCUUAGUAGCGGCGAGUGAAGCGGCAAAAGCUCAAAUUUGAAAUCUGGCACCUUCGGUGUCCGAGUUGUAAUUUGAAGAUUGUAACCUUGGGGUUGGCUCUUGUCUAUGUUUCUUGGAACAGGACGUCACAGAGGGUGAGAAUCCCGUGCGAUGAGAUGCCCAAUCCUAUGUAAGGUGCUUUCGAAGAGUCGAGUUGUUUGGGAAUGCAGCUCUAAGUGGGUGGUAAAUUCCAUCUAAAGCUAAAUAUUGGCGAGAGACCGAUAGCGAACAAGUACAGUGAUGGAAAGAUGAAAAGAACUUUGAAAAGAGAGUGAAAAAGUACGUGAAAUUGUUGAAAGGGAAGGGUUUGAGAUCAGACUCGAUAUUUUGUGAGCCUUGCCUUCGUGGCGGGGUGACCCGCAGCUUAUCGGGCCAGCAUCGGUUUGGGCGGUAGGAUAAUGGCGUAGGAAUGUGACUUUGCUUCGGUGAAGUGUUAUAGCCUGCGUUGAUGCUGCCUGCCUAGACCGAGGACUGCGAUUUUAUCAAGGAUGCUGGCAUAAUGAUCCCAAACCGCCCGU
RNAcentral lists this ribosomal RNA (594 nucleotides) under [Candida] sp. YS21. RNAcentral describes it as "eukaryotic LSU rRNA". It matches the Rfam family "Eukaryotic large subunit ribosomal RNA", at positions 42 to 652 of the family's 3401-position model. The record is from RNAcentral. Lineage: Eukaryota; Fungi; Ascomycota; Saccharomycetes; Saccharomycetales.